UACGGGGGGGGCAAGCGUUGUUCGGAAUUACUGGGCGUAAAGGGCUCGUAGGCGGCCAACUAAGUCAAACGUGAAAUCCCUCGGCUUAACCGGGGAACUGCGUCUGAUACUGGAUGGCUUGAGUUUGGGAGAGGGAUGCGGAAUUCCAGGUGUAGCGGUGAAAUGCGUAGAUAUCUGGAGGAACACCGGUGGCGAAGGCGGCAUCCUGGACCAACACUGACGCUGCGGAGCGAAAGCCAGGGGAGCAAACAGG
RNAcentral lists this ribosomal RNA (253 nucleotides) under uncultured bacterium. Its description in RNAcentral is "partial 16S ribosomal RNA". It matches the Rfam family "Bacterial small subunit ribosomal RNA", at positions 524 to 776 of the family's 1533-position model. The record is from RNAcentral.